GGAAUCGUCCAGCAGUUCUUGGUCUUGCUGACAACCAGUUCUGAUGAAAGUCUUCGAUUUCUUAGCUUUAGAUUGGACUUCAAUGAACAUUAUAAAGCAAGAGAACCAAGGCUUCGUAUUUCUCUGGGCACUAGAGGCAGACGAAGCUCACAUAUGUGAAACAGUUUCUAGUAACUACACCUCAGUAUCCGAAGGAUGUUGAACCUCUUGUUGGACAAUGCAAUCAGUGUCAACAUAAUUACACCAAGUGGCGUGCGAUAGGUGUCCACCAUUUCUGCAGGCAACGUUUCCCGUCAUGUGAUUGUGUGACACUAUAUAGCAGAAAGCAAAGUUAGCAGUUUCAAGUAGAAAUGAUUUAACGGGCAAAUUCUACAGCUACUGAACAGCAGCAAACUGUAGAAGCAGAGCAGGAGUGAAUUUAUUUCACCUAAGAUAUCCUAAGAACUGAAGUUAAAGCCUCGCUACUGUCAAAGGUACUGAGCUGAUGGCAAGGGUGCUCAUCCUUCCUCCUCGGUCUCAGCAGACCGGCUACUGUUGGAUCCGCCUCAAAGGCUCUUUGGGUUUCCCAUGGCUGUGUGAGCUUCCCCAGGGACACUGCAGCUGGUGGGGCUGCACCCUCCUGUUGUGGCCUUCCUGCUGGAUCCUGCGAGGGCCUUUAUUGCUUUCCUUCUUCUGCAAGCUGGCAACAGGGGUGACAAGUGUUUUCAGAGGCGGCAACUGUUUGACUACGUUCCUCUGGAAAGCCCCCUCUGACUUUUCUCUACCUGAAGACGUUCGGUUCUGCGCAUGGAAGACCAUCGCGCUAACCCCCAGCAGCCUCUGGUCUCACAUUAGCGCUCCUCUAAUCCAUUGCUCAGAGCUGCAUGGCCAUCCUUGGCAGCGCCUCCUUCCCCUUGCAGUCCCCAAAUCCGACAGGAUCCAGUGGAGCAGUCCUGGUGAGUUCAUGGAUAACCAUUUGCGUGCCACAUCUCAUCUGCACUCCCCCAUUCGGAUGAAUGAAACCUUAAUGACAGCCCGAGUCGGGAAACCAAAUUGAUGAUGGGACCAAGGGCAUCCCUUGAUGGAGUGCAGCUCCCUGACAGCUCCUCUCGCUCAUCCAACCCUGCCAUAAGCGCUGUGCAUUACACCCAGACAGAAAGGACCAAAAGAGCCAAGGACUCGCACCGUUUUAACCCACCAUUUUUAUUCUUCUAUUCGGAAUAUUCCUCUGAAGUACAAUGUCCCUGUUGGUAAUGAGAACACACACACUUGGAACGAUCGGCUUGGGGUAAAUUGAGGGCAAUGCAGAUAUCUGAGGAAGAGUCAUAACCACCCUCUGAGCUCCUCUGGUAUCUAGGCUGCAAUGAACGUUUUGAAUUCAUGGCAUUAAAUAACUGGGCAAGCUCUGUUGCAAAGUUCACCAGAAGUGGACUGGAGCUGUUGCUGAGAUUUUCAUUUUUUAUGGCGAGCUCAUCCUUUUUUCUCUCGCUUCCUGGUUUUGCUCGGCCUUCCUCUAUACUUGACUCUUCUCUGUUGGAAGCAGCGGCAGGAUUAGCUGGUACCGCUUCUCUGCAACAAUGAGAAUGGCUUUCAGCAAAGAGUACUCACUGCUAGGAAGGAAGAGUCCAGUUAAAAAAAGUUUACAGCAGACGUCUCAACAGCUCACCAGGCACUCCAUGCUACUAUCACUACACAUGCUUUGUUGCUAAAAUAUAGAAAAUAUAAAGAAUGUCGGAAAAGAACAACUCACCGUUUUCUCUUCCUCAUCAGGAAAAUAACUAUACAUGUCAGCACUAGCCCAAACAAUACGGAACCCGAGACUGCAGCAGGGAGGACCAAAYGAUGCUUUUCUACGGCUUUAUGAUCCGCAGCCUCUGCACCUUUGUCACCACCAAGACCUGGUGGUGGAAAGGAGACAAUCCCAUAUAUCACUGGGUUCUGCAGUAAUGAUAAUCUCACUGUGUGGCUGGGAUUCCCAGGCACUUUUACAUUCCCUGUUGUUACUAUCGCUGAUUCUGGUGUCUUGGCACCGGCGGACAAUAAAGUUCAUUUACACUUCUCUUGGGCA
Molecule: long non-coding RNA, 2047 nt
Organism: Apteryx haastii (Great spotted kiwi)
Lineage: Eukaryota; Metazoa; Chordata; Aves; Apterygiformes; Apterygidae
Source: Ensembl